GGCAUCGUGGUCGAGUGGCUUAAGACACCUGUCUGCAAAACAGGUUUUACCGUGGGUUCGAAUCCCACCGAUGUCU
Molecule: transfer RNA, 76 nt
Filed under: Clostridium sp. AF34-10BH
Lineage: Bacteria; Bacillati; Bacillota; Clostridia; Eubacteriales; Clostridiaceae
Description: tRNA-Cys
Rfam family: tRNA
About the family: Transfer RNA (tRNA) molecules are approximately 80 nucleotides in length. Their secondary structure includes four short double-helical elements and three loops (D, anti-codon, and T loops). Further hydrogen bonds mediate the characteristic L-shaped molecular structure. tRNAs have two regions of fundamental functional importance: the anti-codon, which is responsible for specific mRNA codon recognition, and the 3' end, to which the tRNAs corresponding amino acid is attached (by aminoacyl-tRNA synthetases). tRNAs cope with the degeneracy of the genetic code in two manners: having more than one tRNA (with a specific anti-codon) for a particular amino acid; and 'wobble' base-pairing, i.e. permitting non-standard base-pairing at the 3rd anti-codon position.
Source: RNAcentral